Harpegnathos saltator (Jerdon's jumping ant) is the source of this 73-nucleotide non-coding RNA. Lineage: Eukaryota; Metazoa; Arthropoda; Insecta; Hymenoptera; Formicidae. The record is from Rfam.
CUUCAGGUAGCUCAGUGGUUUAGAGCAGUCGUCCGGUAAGCGAAAAACCCGGGUUCGAUUCCCGGUCUAGCGA